Molecule: ribosomal RNA, 252 nt
Filed under: uncultured bacterium
Lineage: Bacteria
Description: partial 16S ribosomal RNA
Rfam family: Bacterial small subunit ribosomal RNA
Source: RNAcentral
UACGAACUGUGCAAACGUUAUUCGGAUUCACUGGGCUUAAAGGGUGCGUAGGCGGCCAUGUAAGUAGGGUGUGAAAUCCCCCGGCUUAACCGGGGAACUGCGCCCUAAACUGUGUGGCUUGAGUGAGAUAGGGGUGUGUGGAACUUCCGGUGGAGCGGUGAAAUGUGUUGAUAUCGGAAGGAACGCCGGUGGCGAAAGCGACACACUGGGUCUCAACUGACGCUGAGGCACGAAAGCCAGGGAGCGAACGGG